This 492-nucleotide unclassified non-coding RNA is filed under the name Hevea brasiliensis (rubber tree). Lineage: Eukaryota; Viridiplantae; Streptophyta; Magnoliopsida; Malpighiales; Euphorbiaceae. The record is from RNAcentral.
AUUCUCCUACUGCAUUGCCCGAGCCUCAGGUGCAGACACGGUCGUUGCAGUCGGCACCUCCAAGUUUUAGAACUAGAGUAAAACCUGUACAGUCAAAUAAUAGAGUUACGAGCAGUAGGGCACGGGCACUCUCUGCUCCGUCUAGCCUGGACACCGCAGAACAAGAUGCGCUAGCAUCAAAUGAAUGUGAGGAACAUGAUGAGUUCAGGAGUCGUAUUGGUUUAAUCAAGGAAUACCAAUCACCAAGUCCUCAGCCUCUUCCUCUUCCAUCUCCACAGAGUGCUGCUGCCACUCUCAAGACUAUGGGAAGCUUUAAAGUUGGUAAUGCCAGCGGUCCUUUAAAUGCCUCUGGACCCCUGCCACUGCCUCUUACACUGCCUUCAACACUGCCUUCUACUGGAGCACUCAGGAACUUCUCAUUUGAAGAACUUGCUGCUGCCUGCCACCGCUUCUCUCCUGAGCGAUGUAUGUCAGAAGGUCUCUCUUCUGUUA